GUGCUUGCUCCAGUAGCAUGUACACUAAAACCGGAGUGAUACAGAGGAGAUUAGCACAGCUUCUGUACAAGGAUGACUUACAAAUUAUGGAAGCAUUCCACAUUUUG
Small nuclear RNA from Mustela putorius furo (domestic ferret), 107 nucleotides. NCBI's taxonomy places the organism in Eukaryota, Metazoa, Chordata, Mammalia, Carnivora, Mustelidae. The record is from Ensembl.